GUGCUCGCUUCAGCAGCACAUGUAUUAAAUUGGAAUGAUACAGAGAAGAUUAGCAUGACCCCUGUGCAGGGAUGACACACAAAUUUGUGAAACAUUCCAUAAUUUU
Diceros bicornis minor is the source of this 106-nucleotide small nuclear RNA. NCBI's taxonomy places the organism in Eukaryota, Metazoa, Chordata, Mammalia, Perissodactyla, Rhinocerotidae. The record is from RefSeq and is a predicted model, not a curated record.